Molecule: ribosomal RNA, 516 nt
Filed under: Macrophthalmus milloti
Lineage: Eukaryota; Metazoa; Arthropoda; Malacostraca; Decapoda; Macrophthalmidae
Description: partial 12S ribosomal RNA
Source: RNAcentral
GCAUUGAUUUUAUAAAUGUUAUAAGUAAAGGCAAGUGAAAUUGAUUUUUAUGUUAUAUUUAUUAAUAAAUUGGAGUUGAAGCUAAAAAAAUUUAGUAAAAGACUAGGAUUAGAUACCCUAUUAUUUAAAAAUAAAAAAUAAAAACUUAAUUAGUUAAAGAUAUAUACUUAAAAUUUAAAAAAUUUGGCGGUAAUUUAAUCUUUUCAGAGGAACCUGUUUUUUAAUCGAUAAACCACGAAAUAUCUUACUUACUUUUGUAAUAUUUUUAGUUUGUAUACCAUCAUUAACAAAUAAUUUCAAAAAGAAAAAAUUAUUUAGCAUAAAAUAAUUAUAAAAAUUAGAUCAAGGUGCAGCUUAUAAGUAAGGUAAAAUGGGUUACAAUAAAUCAUUUUAUUAAUGGAUUAAUAAAGUAAUCUUUGUUAUGAAGGAGGAUUUGAUUGUAUUUUGAAUUUAAUAAGUUUAAAAGAUAUAAGCUCUAAAUUAUGUACAUAUCGCCCGUCGCUUUCAUCUAUAAAU